GCCCGCGGCCUAUCAGCUAGUUGGUGAGGUAAAGGCUCACCAAGGCGUCGACGGGUAGCCGGCCUGAGAGGGUGACCGGCCACACUGGGACUGAGACACGGCCCAGACUCCUACGGGAGGCAGCAGUGGGGAAUAUUGCACAAUGGGCGCAAGCCUGAUGCAGCAACGCCGCGUGAGGGACGACGGCCUUCGGGUUGUAAACCUCUUUUAGCAGGGAAGAAGCGAAAGUGACGGUACCUGCAGAAAAAGCACCGGCUAACUACGUGCCAGCAGCCGCGGUAAUACGUAGGGUGCAAGCGUUAUCCGGAAUUAUUGGGCGUAAAGAGCUCGUAGGCGGUUUGUCGCGUCUGCUGUGAAACCCCGAGGCUCAACCUCGGGCCUGCAGUGGGUACGGGCAGACUAGAGUGCGGUAGGGGAGAUUGGAAUUCCUGGUGUAGCGGCGGAAUGCGCAGAUAUCGGGAGGAACACCGAUGGCGAAGGCAGAUCUCUGGGCCGUAACUGACGCUGAGGAGCGAAAGCGUGGGGAGCGAACAGGAUUAGAUACCCUGGUAGUCCACGCCGUAAACGUUGGGAACUAGAUGUGGGGGCCAUUCCACGGCUUCCGUGUCGCAGCUAACGCAUUAAGUUCCCCGCCUGGGGAGUACGGCCGCAAGGCUAAAACUCAAAGGAAUUGACGGGGACCCGCACAAGCGGCGGAGCAUGCGGAUUAAUUCGAUGCAACGCGAAGAACCUUACCAAGGCUUGACAUAUACGAGAACGCUGCAGAAAUGUAGAACUCUUUGGACACUCGUAUACAGGUGGUGCAUGGUUGUCGUCAGCUCGUGUCGUGAGAUGUUGGGUUAAGUCCCGCAACGAGCGCAACCCUCGUUCUAUGUUGCCAGCACGUUAUGGUGGGAACUCAUAGGAGACUGCCAGGGUCAACUCGGAGGAAGGUGGGGAUGACGUCAAAUCAUCAUGCCCCUUAUGUCUUGGGCUUCACGCAUGCUACAAUGGCCGGUACAAAGGGCUGCAAUACCGCAAGGUGGAGCGAAUCCCAAAAAGCCGGUCUCAGUUCGGAUUGAGGUCUGCAACUCGACCUCAUGAAGUCGGAGUCGCUAGUAAUCGUGGAUCAGCAACGCCACGGUGAAUACGUUCCCGGGCCUUGUACACACCG
RNAcentral lists this ribosomal RNA (1153 nucleotides) under uncultured Actinomycetes bacterium. Its description in RNAcentral is "bacterial SSU rRNA". It matches the Rfam family "Bacterial small subunit ribosomal RNA", at positions 229 to 1392 of the family's 1533-position model. The record is from RNAcentral. Lineage: Bacteria; Bacillati; Actinomycetota; Actinomycetes.